Molecule: ribosomal RNA, 436 nt
Filed under: uncultured bacterium
Lineage: Bacteria
Description: bacterial SSU rRNA
Rfam family: Bacterial small subunit ribosomal RNA
Source: RNAcentral
UACGGAAGGCAGCAGUGGGGAAUAUUGGACAAUGGGCGAAAGCCUGAUCCAGCCAUGCCGCAUGAGUGAAGAAGGCCUUCGGGGUUGUAAAGCUCUUUUAGUGAGAAAGAUAAUGACGGUACUCACAGAAGAAGUCCUGGCUAACUCCGUGCCAGCAGCCGCGGUAAUACGGAGAGGGCUAGCGUUAUUCGGAAUUAUUGGGCGUAAAGAGCGCGUAGGCUGAUUAGCAAGUUAAAAGUGAAAUCCCAAAGCUUAACUUUGGAAUUGCUUUUUAAAACUGCUAGUCUAGAGAUUUGAAAGAGGAUAGAGGAAUUCCUAGUGUAGAGGUGAAAUUCGUAAAUAUUAGGAGGAACACCAGUGGCGAAGGCGUCUAUCUGGUUCAAAUCUGACGCUGAGGGCGCGAAGGGCGUGGGGAGCGAAACAGGGAUUAGAUACC